Mugil cephalus (flathead mullet) is the source of this 836-nucleotide long non-coding RNA. RefSeq lists it as uncharacterized. The record is from RefSeq and is a predicted model, not a curated record. The transcript has 5 exons. NCBI's taxonomy places the organism in Eukaryota, Metazoa, Chordata, Actinopteri, Mugiliformes, Mugilidae.
AUCGGAUUUGCUGUUGUUUUCCGAGAUAGAAAGGAAAGUGUAUUUUGUGAAAUUAACUGUCCUAUGGGAAGACAGAGUUGAGAGGCGAAUGAGCACAAGAGAGACAGAUACGCAGAGUUGGCAUCGGAAGCUGAGCAGCGAGGCCGGAGCGUCCGGGUGCGCCCAGUGGAGGUCGGCUGCCAUGGAUUUGCGGAGCGAGUGGCUGUGGCUAAGGAGGAAAGACGCUGACUGAGGAGCAUGCUAAGGUCGAACGUGCUUAUAAAAAAAAAAGCACCAUCUGUCAAACAAGCUUCAAGAGGAGGACGAGCAGCAGAAUGGCUUCAGUUUGUAAUUGCCAAACUGUCAUCUUAGACAACAUGCCUUAUCUUCAAGAGAGCUCCACAACAAGACCAUGAGCAUCUCUGUUAAUAGUUUCAGAACUCAGAACACUCAGACUCCGCCUCUGCUCCACUCAGCCUGCUAGCCCACCUCAUCAUCUCAGCUCACCUGUGCAGGCAGCUGCUGCUCAUCCUCUGCAAUCAGCGGAGAGAAGCCGAGGCUGCAGCUGCAUGAACUUUGCAAGACGAAACAGCUGGCAGGGGCUGUCUAGAAAGCAAACACCAACUGGGGGUGUGCUGAUGUCAAAGUUUGAGGAAAGGAAUAAAACCACUCUGUGAUUGGGACCUGCAUAUUAGCUGGUACAAGUAUUCCACGCAUGCCCUUUAACCACUUUUCUGUCCGUACUUCCUCUUAUUCUCAUGCUCGCAGUCACUCUGCUUUACUCACAAAAGGGUCCGUCUAAAUACUAAAGGAUAGUAUUAGAAAUGACCUUUGAUAUUGAAUUGUUCAUUGUCCAU